GGUGAUUUUCGGCGGGUUCUCGCCAGAGGCGGUUGCGGGCCGUAUUGUCGACUCCAGUUCAAAACUGGUGAUCACCGCC
Molecule: transfer RNA, 79 nt
Filed under: Enterobacter sp. DC1
Lineage: Bacteria; Pseudomonadati; Pseudomonadota; Gammaproteobacteria; Enterobacterales; Enterobacteriaceae
Description: tRNA-Arg
Source: RNAcentral